Non-coding RNA from Struthio camelus australis, 279 nucleotides. NCBI's taxonomy places the organism in Eukaryota, Metazoa, Chordata, Aves, Struthioniformes, Struthionidae. The record is from RefSeq and is a predicted model, not a curated record.
GGAGGAGUAACCUGUUGGCGGUUGGUCGGUGUCGCAGCAGGUUGGUUGAAAAGCCCAAACUGCUAAAAGCUUUUCUGGCUCCAAGAGGACCGUGGCAGAGGUGGUGCUGCUGAGGAGUGCCUGACAGAAGAGCUAUGUCCUUGUUUCCUUUAAAGUAGAAGGACUCAAAACAACCUAAAGCAAAUUUCUUGGCUUACUGCACCAGGCCUGUGUCCCAUCAUCAUCAUCGCUAUGAUGAUGGUUUACAGAUUUUAAAUAAAAAACCACAAUUUUUUGGUA